CCAGACUCCUACGGGAGGCAGCAGUGGGGGAUAUUGCACAAUGGGGGAAACCCUGAUGCAGCGACGCCGCGUGAGUGAAGAAGUAAUUCGUUACGUAAAGCUCUAUCAGCAGGGAAGAAAAUGACGGUACCUGACUAAGAAGCCCCGGCUAACUACGUGCCAGCAGCCGCGGUAAUACGUAGGGGGCAAGCGUUAUCCGGAAUUACUGGGUGUAAAGGGAGCGCAGACGGCAGUGCAAGUCUGGAGUGAAAGCCCGGGGCUCAACCCCGGGACUGCAUUUGGAACUGUGUGGCUGGAGUGUCGGAGAGGCAGGCGGAAUUCCUAGUGUAGCGGUGAAAUGCGUAGAUAUUAGGAGGAACACCAGUGGCGAAGGCGGCCUGCUGGACGAUGACUGACGUUGAGGCUCGAAAGCGUGGGGAGCAAACAGGAUUAGAUACCCCAGUACGC
RNAcentral lists this ribosomal RNA (447 nucleotides) under uncultured bacterium. Its description in RNAcentral is "bacterial SSU rRNA". It matches the Rfam family "Bacterial small subunit ribosomal RNA", at positions 331 to 794 of the family's 1533-position model. The record is from RNAcentral.